RNAcentral lists this long non-coding RNA (203 nucleotides) under Nicotiana benthamiana. RNAcentral describes it as "long non-coding RNA (NBEN_LNC033910)". Lineage: Eukaryota; Viridiplantae; Streptophyta; Magnoliopsida; Solanales; Solanaceae. The record is from RNAcentral.
ACCGGAUGAAACUAAGUCCGGUCACCGGAAAUUGCAGAUAAACGGAAACUCACCAAAAUAAGGUCACAGACGUCGGAAGCUUACCCAAAACGUCUAUCGACCGAAAGCAAAGUCAUCGGAUAGCAUCAAAACCCCGGGUCCGAAGGUCGGAAAAUCCUAGAAUUUGAAGGACUCACCAGAAUAAGACCAGAGAUGUCGGAAAA